Molecule: ribosomal RNA, 224 nt
Filed under: uncultured bacterium
Lineage: Bacteria
Description: partial 16S ribosomal RNA
Rfam family: Bacterial small subunit ribosomal RNA
Source: RNAcentral
GAAAUAACGUCCCAGUUCGGAUUGUAGUCUGCAACCCGACUACAUGAAGCUGGAAUCGCUAGUAAUCGCGAAUCAGAAUGUCGCGGUGAAUACGUUCCCGGGUCUUGUACACACCGCCCGUCACACCAUGGGAGUCGGAAAUGCCCGAAGUCAGUGACCCAACCGUAAGGAGGGAGCUGCCGAAGGUGGAGCCGGUAACUGGGGUGAAGUCGUAACAAGGUAUC